This is a long non-coding RNA of Canis lupus familiaris (dog), 2394 nucleotides long. RefSeq lists it as uncharacterized. The record is from RefSeq and is a predicted model, not a curated record. The transcript has 9 exons. Lineage: Eukaryota; Metazoa; Chordata; Mammalia; Carnivora; Canidae.
GGCUUCAUAAGGAUAAAAUCUGGAAUGUUUUGAGAAGAAGAAGAGGUCAUGGAGGAUAUGGAAUCAGGGCCAAUGAAGGGGCAGUGCCAUCCAGACCACAGCUUUAUUCCCUGGAGGGUACUCAGGUACUCCAUAUUCCAAAGGCUCUGAGGAGAAUGAGCUUCUUAACCUCCUUAAUCCUCUGGAAAGUCACAUCCAGCAUGGGUCCAGAUCAGAGUUGCAUCAGAAUUCAGAAGGUUUAUGUAAUAGCUAGAACCCAGAAGGAUCUUUGAUUUCCAGUGUGAGUAGCUGCAGAAUUCUCAUUGUUCAAAUGGGUAGUGUCUUUUACAGUUGGGAAGCUGUCUGCUUCUGCACCUUUGUUCAGUUUGUACCCAGUAGCUGGAGCAUCUUCUAAUUUGUCUUUGUCCAGUUGUCUGUAUGGUGCAAGACCUAUUUGCCGCGAAGUUUCUUUUUUUCUUGCAGAAGAUUUACUAGGAUUCAUUAAGAUACAGAUCAACUGGUUGUUUGGGCAUCCACGGACAAGAUUUCUUUUUUCUGUUAAGGGAAAUCAACAUUUUCCACUAAUGGCAAGACAUGUUGCCAACAGCUGUGGAGAGAUGUGAUGUGAUCUUCUCAAUGAACAAUCUAAGAGCCACUGAUUGCUUAUCAACAGGAAUUUCACCACUGAAGAAAGUAACAUAGUCUUCACCUCCUAACAAAUGAAAGUUAUUAAUGUUUCCUUGUGAGACACACUGGAUCCCCUCAACUGCAGCAUGGAUAAGAAGACAUUUGUUACAAGAAUGCAGGGUAAAGGAAGACUUGCAGUCGGUGAUCUGUGCGGGUAGACAGAGGGCAUGGAUCAGCCCCCCAGCCUUGUGUCUGAGUGCAUCCCAUCAUCCACUCGGUGCACAGAUCACUUUCAUUUCUUUGAAUAGACUCCCUAGUCUCUCCUGCUUUGCUUGUGCUCCUGUUGUCACAGUUGCUUCGAAUGCUUUCCCUCACAUUCUGCCUGUUGAAACUACUCCUCAGUCAUCUCACUCUGCAUGUCUACGCUAGAACUGAUCUUAAUCCAACUUGUGUUGCUGUCACUUGCAUAUGUGUCUUUCCUUCACACCACACUCUGAGUCUCUUGAAGAUCUGUUUUUCUUACAUGCUUCAUUGAUGUUGAGGGCAACAACCACAUUCGCAUGCUUCUGAGUCACUUGGGAACAAAAGCAAGGACUGGAUUCUAAUAUCAAAAACCAAUAUUAGGAAGAAAAUUCCUCUCUGAGGAACUCCUCCUAGGAGAUCCCUCAUCUUGAAAAUAUGGAAAAUAAUCAUCCUUACCACACAAGGUUGCUGUGCGUUUAGAUGAAUUAGUGAAUGUAAGAACCUGAAAACAGUACCGGCCUCUGAGUAAGUACUCUGUAUAUUUUGUCCAUUAGUACUAUCACUACCUUUUCUCUCAUACCUCUCUCCCCAGGAACUGCCUUAGGAUUUUCCCACCAUUCAUUAGAGACCAAAUGGCCUUCAUAAAUGCUCUGGCUACUGAUUCUGAGUUUUAUAUGGACUGCAAAGCGGCUCCUCAUGCUGUUUUUAAGUUCCUUGACCUCCGUAAGCUCUUUUUAGUGAUGCUCAGAAGCUGGAACAGUUGAGUUUCAGAUAUAGAUUGGAGAGCUUCCUUACGAACUCCAAUAAAAUAGCUCAGAGUUUGGCUCUCACUUUUAAAUACUAUGCAGAUGGCGCUGAACCCCAGCCAAACUGGCGGCAACUUGAUUUCCUCUGGUGAGUGCUGGUGGGGUGUCUACAGGAUGGCAUUCAUUCUCAUCUCUUGUCCCCUUUCUCUCUUUCUCUGUCUUUCCCCUCCCCCCACAUCUCUACUCCUUACACACACACACACACACACACACACACACACACACACACACCGUAUUUUUCCUUUAAGCCUGAGUAUUUUUUAUAAUGACAUGGCCAGCAAUAAUUAAUAAAGUCAUUGGUUUCCUGCCUGAACUUGUACUUAUGUUAGCUAUUUCAACGUGUGGAAAUUUUCACUUCAGCGCCAGAUCAAUAGCGUCCCCUUUGUGAUUCCCCACUGCCAGGAGAGAAAAUGUUCGCAAAAGGAGAUCUAAGGAGCUUCCUACCAAUUUAGAAGAGACAGAAGAAAGGACACUCUGUGCCAGCUGUGAAAGAAGCUCUUAUAUGCUGAUAGGAAUGUUAUGAAAUAUCUGUAAAUUUGGAGCUUGUUUUCUUGAGCUGUAAAACCUAACUGCAUGGAGUGGAUUUUUGAACACUCUUAAAAUAAACAUAAACUAAGCUUUGAUAAAGGGACCCUUUUUGGGGGUUUGAUUUACUGUUAUAACAGUAUAAUAUUUGUAUAUGUAAAAAUGUCAAAAAGUCCAAGAAAACAGUAAUUGAAUAAACUAGAUAUAAAUGUGA